AUAUCUACCACUUGCCCACACCACCACCCCAGCUAUUCAUAGCCAGCCACUUGGUGGACCCUGAAUGGGCCCAGCUCAGCUCCUCGUCUUUGUUGCUCUUUCUCACUCUGUCCCCUCACGGAGAUCUCCCGCCCCUCCCUUCGCUCUGCCCGGUGGCUGCUAACUCUCCAGGCUUGGAGUCAUCAUCAUCAUCUCUUGCCUGUCACUGCGAGGGCCUCCUACACCACUGGAUGACACUCCUUUGGGGGCGAGAAUGCAUGCGGUGUGGUUUUGUAACUGAGGGAGCACACAGGAGGCAGGCUUUCGGUGUGUUUUGUUAAACUGCCGAAUGAAUGGUGUGAGAUCCGUCGCUCAUCUUGCAAGGCACCUUGUCUCCAUGGCUACCAAACCCCACCCAGCCUGACCACUCUAUAAAAUCUACCCAUGUUACCCAGACGACGUGCUGCAGAUGCAAGGGGGGACUUGGUACUCUCAGUAAAAGUGAGCUUCAGGUCCUUGAACGGCAUCUCAGACAAGCAUCAUGGACAUCGUCAAUAUACCAGAGGUGCUAUCCACAGCAGAACUAAUGGGAGACCAAUCAUGUGCUGCCCAGCAGUGGCGACUUUAAGAGGACCAAGAGCUAGCGAUGGUAGAGGAUUAAUUUAGGAUUUUCUCAGCAAUACCGGGACACAUGAAACAACAUCUCCAUUUGUUUGAUGACCACAUUGUCAUCUCUAGUUAAGUCACAGCUCCACAGAGGUGACUCUGUCAUUGCCCUGUGGCCUCUGCACCAGCCAGUAGAGAAGCCUUUAGUCACCUGUGACCACCAGCAUGUGAGACACCGCUAAGGAGACCAAACAUCUGAAUUUACCCUGUUUUAGACGGUGUCUUGCCAUAUAGCCCAGGCUGACCUGGAACCUGUCAUACUCCUGCUUCAGCCUCUCUCAGCUAGAAUUACAGAUAUGCACCAUGCGCAUAGGCUGAAGAACUGGAAUUGUAAUGAAAUUGAGACACGCUAUAAAUGCAAAACAUGCACCAGAGUUCCAAGAUUGUAGAAAGAAAAAAAAUGCAAA
Peromyscus eremicus (cactus mouse) is the source of this 1052-nucleotide long non-coding RNA. RefSeq lists it as uncharacterized. Lineage: Eukaryota; Metazoa; Chordata; Mammalia; Rodentia; Cricetidae. The transcript has 3 exons. The record is from RefSeq and is a predicted model, not a curated record.